Molecule: ribosomal RNA, 433 nt
Filed under: uncultured bacterium
Lineage: Bacteria
Description: partial 16S ribosomal RNA
Rfam family: Bacterial small subunit ribosomal RNA
Source: RNAcentral
AACGAACGCUGGCUGCAUGCCUAACACAUGCAAGUCGAACGAGACCUUCGGGUCUAGUGGCGCACGGGUGCGUAACGCGUGGGAACCUGCCCUUAGGUUCGGAAUAACUCCCCGAAAGGGGUGCUAAUACCGGAUAAUGUCUUCGGACCAAAGAUUUAUCGCCUUUGGAUGGGCCCGCGUUGGAUUAGCUAGUUGGUAGGGUAAAAGCCUACCAAGGCGACGAUCCAUAGAUGGUCUGAGAGGAUGAUCAGCCACACUGGGACUGAGACACGGCCCAGACUCCUACGGGAGGCAGCAGUGGGGAAUAUUGGAAAAUGGGCGAAAGACUGAUCCAGCAAUGCCGCGUGAGUGAUGAAGGCCUUAGGGUUGUAAAGCUCUUUUACCCGGGAUGAUAAUGACAGUACCGGGAGAAUAAGCUCCGGCUAACUCCGUG